Molecule: long non-coding RNA, 1716 nt
Filed under: Manduca sexta (tobacco hornworm)
Lineage: Eukaryota; Metazoa; Arthropoda; Insecta; Lepidoptera; Sphingidae
Description: uncharacterized LOC119189338, transcript variant X2
Source: RNAcentral
CAUUAUAUUAAAUACAGGUAAAAUUCUCAGGCGAUCUUAUUUAUAAUUUUAAAUCUAAAAUUUUGCACAGGCAAAACCGCGUGCAAUAGUAGUGACAUUAACGUAAUGUGAUGAAACUUACUUUUUACCUUAGACCCAACAGGGUAUUGAGCUGGCAACGUCCCAUAGGUUCACUUCACGACCUUGACGACGGUCAAUAGGAAGAGCGGCAACGUCGGUUGUAAUAUGUCAAAUCAUAAAUAAGGCUUCUAUCAAAUACUCAUAACAAUGGAGGUACACGAGUGUACUUUGUUUACCGUUGUUUACUUUUCUUGACGUAAGUGAAGACGCUAUUUCAAGAAAUUUGAAGUGCUAAUUCAUUAAAAUAUGUACGCUUUCAUGACUGUGCCUCAACUUAAAGUUGAGGUUCGUAAAAGAAAUGCGUCAAUUGCCGGAAAAAAAGGCUAAUUUGAUAGAAAGAUUGCAAUCUAAUGACCGGAAUAAAAAUUUUGGUGUUGACUGCGAGAUCCAAGAGGAGAUCGCAUAUCUGAGUCCAGCCACUGAUACUUUCAGAGACAUAAUUGCGGACACUUCUUUACCAAUGAUUACGAGACAAGCAAUACAGGAAUAUUUUGAAAGUUAUGUACCCAUAUGUAAUGAUUAUAAUCUUAGGCAGUUGUUUACAAAGAUGACAGUGUAAAUUUUAUGUAUUUAAAUUGAUAUAAUACUCAGCAUAAAGGACAACUCCUGUACGAAUUUCGACAUCUUGUGACUGCCCGCUUAUUCUCACAGAUGGCAUUUAUACCCACUUGCGAGGACAAUGUAAAGCCAGUAUGAAAAAAAUGGUAUACUUUGUGGAUAUAAAAUUAAGUAAAGAUGGAGUAAUUGAAGAAUGCCAUUGCGAUUGUGCUGCAGGCAGUGGUACUCAAGCAUGUUGCAAACAUGUCUCUGUAUUGUUGGAUGACAUGUGAACCCGCAAAUCCACAUGGCAUUGAAUGGGAUCGUUACACCUAUGUAGAUAGGACUCCAAUAGAUAUUUUACUAGAGAAGCUAUUAUUAAAAAUAUUAUAUCUGAACAAAUUCAGGAAGUGAGAAGAAUACAAGAGCCCAAAGUGAUUCCUCUGAGUGGCAUGAAAGAUCAUGCAGGAUUACUGCCAGUAUGUUUCAUUUAGUGUGCCACAGUAAAGCAUAUAAGUACCAAAAAUAUAUGUAAUCGAUAUGAUUUUGGCCCCUAAAGCUGUGCAGACUAUGUUAGUUGUGCAUAGUAAAAUCCAAGAAACUAUUUCCAUUGCCAAAUAUGAUAGAGAUUAUGGACUAAAAAUAAAAAAAGUGGAUUCAUUAUAUCAUUUGAAUAUCCUUUUCUGGCUGUUUCUCCAGACGGUAUAUUGGGUAAAGAUACUAUUGUUGAGGUUAAGUGUCCAUAUGCUGCUAGAUAUUAUAAAAUAACCUCUGUGACUGUGCCUUACUUAAAAUACUUAAUGGAGAAUUACAUUUAAAAAGCAGCAUCCAUAUUAUGCCCAAAUCCAAGGCCAACUUUAUUGUUCGGGGGACUUAAUAUUGCAAUUUUAUUGUUUACACAUUUGAGGAUAUGAAAAUAAUAUUCAUUAAUAGAGAUGACUCAUUUAUUAAUGGCAUGUUGACAAAUUUGUUAAACUUUUAUGUACAUAAUUUAGAACCAGAAAUGUAAAUAAGUAUGUGUAUAAGAACUAUUUACAAUUAAUAAAUAAAUUGAAAUAA